RNAcentral lists this unclassified non-coding RNA (214 nucleotides) under Hevea brasiliensis (rubber tree). The record is from RNAcentral. Lineage: Eukaryota; Viridiplantae; Streptophyta; Magnoliopsida; Malpighiales; Euphorbiaceae.
UUUUCACUCUCUCUCUCACCCCCCUCUUUGCCUCUCUGUUACCCACUUCAUUUUUUACCAAAGAAAAUAAAAACUGCUCUAGAUCUUUGCUUGUAGAACCUAUGCAGCAAAAUUUGGAACAUGAGUGAACUUCUGAUUUCAAUGCAAUUUCUGUCUUUUAUUAUUUCUUAUUUCAUACAUUUACCAUUGUUUUGCAGAAUUACCUUUGUACCUG